CCUGAUGAUACUACUAAAAGUACGUCUAGUAAGCCACACACGAUUGAAAUACCAGAAGAAUUUGGCCCUGUCAGAAGAUUUUUCGUGAAAUACAUUCGACCUGAAAGAGAUCUCUUCAUUGGAACUAGAGAACCAGAGAAAGACAAUUUAAGGCAAGUUGAAAAGGAUUACUAUGUUCUGACAAAGGCCAGGCAGCGAGCUCAUUAUAUUUGUGCUCCUAAAAUAAUCGACUUCGACGAAUGCUCAGAAAGAGAGGGAGCUUUGUUUAACCUGAUAAAAUGUCGAAAUCAGCUCAAAGAAAUGAACAAGUGUCUGACUCUGUAUGCGAGCGACGAUCAAAUCGUGCUGGCUUCGAAGAAAGAAUAUCUACAGGAACGACAGUACUUCAGAGAUACUGGGAAAUGUUUUUCCGAUGAUCCGAAGACACAACGCAAACUGAAGUACUGGAUAGAUCUGGGAAGAACUGAUUAUCUGAAAGCAAAAUCUGAAUGUGAACAGAAAAGUGUUAAAUUCGACUGGAUAAACGAUCAUUGCAAAUUUACUAGCAAUCGAAAUUGAUAUACUGUAAAUAAAUAUUUUAUUGGA
Molecule: long non-coding RNA, 585 nt
Organism: Symsagittifera roscoffensis
Lineage: Eukaryota; Metazoa; Xenacoelomorpha; Acoela; Convolutidae
Exons: 2
Source: RefSeq, a predicted model, not a curated record